Molecule: ribosomal RNA, 266 nt
Filed under: uncultured bacterium
Lineage: Bacteria
Description: partial 16S ribosomal RNA
Rfam family: Bacterial small subunit ribosomal RNA
Source: RNAcentral
GCGUGCCUAACACAUGCAAGUCGAACGAAGUUUAUGGAGCUUGCUUCAUAAACUUAGUGGCGGACGGGUGAGUAACGCGUGAGUAAUCUGCCUCAAGCUGGGGGAUAACACAUGGAAACGUGUGCUAAUACCGCAUAAGAUAGCAGCUUCGCAUGGAGCAGCUAUUAAAGUUUUUUCGGCUUGAGAUGAGCUCGCGUCUGAUUAGCUAGUUGGUGGGGUAACGGCCUACCAAGGCGACGAUCAGUAGCCGGACUGAGAGGUCGAAC